Molecule: signal recognition particle RNA, 299 nt
Filed under: Cebus imitator (Panamanian white-faced capuchin)
Lineage: Eukaryota; Metazoa; Chordata; Mammalia; Primates; Cebidae
Description: Metazoan signal recognition particle RNA (ENSCCAG00000002276.1)
Rfam family: Metazoan signal recognition particle RNA
About the family: The signal recognition particle (SRP) is a universally conserved ribonucleoprotein. It is involved in the co-translational targeting of proteins to membranes. The eukaryotic SRP consists of a 300-nucleotide 7S RNA and six proteins: SRPs 72, 68, 54, 19, 14, and 9.
Source: RNAcentral
GCCAGGCGCAGUGGCAUGUGCCUGUAGUCCCAGCUACUUGGGAGGCUGAGGCUGGAGGAUUGCUUGAGUCCAGGAGUUCUAGGCUGUAGUGCACUCUGCUGAUUGGGUGUCUGCACUAAGUUUGGCAUCAAUAAGGUGACCUCCUGGGAGCAGGGGACCACCAGGUUGCCUAAGGAGGGGUGAACCCGCCCAGGUCGGAAGCAAAACAGGUCAAAACUCCCGUGCUGAUCAGUAGUGGGAUCGCGCCUGUGAAUAGCCACUGCACUCCCGCCUGGGCAACAUAGCAAGACCCCAUCUCU